RNAcentral lists this ribosomal RNA (497 nucleotides) under uncultured bacterium. RNAcentral's name for it is "partial 16S ribosomal RNA". It matches the Rfam family "Bacterial small subunit ribosomal RNA", at positions 28 to 507 of the family's 1533-position model. The record is from RNAcentral.
GACGAACGCUGGCGGCGUGCCUAAUACAUGCAAGUUGAGCGCUGAAGGUUGGUACUUGUACCGACUGGAUGAGCAGCGCACGGGUGAGUAACGCGUGGGGAAUCUGCCUUUGAGCGGGGGACAACAUUUGGAAACGAAUGCUAAUACCGCAUAAAAACUUUAAACACAAGUUUUAAGUUUGAAAGAUGCAAUUGCAUCACUCAAAGAUGAUCCCGCGUUGUAUUAGCUAGUUGGUGAGGUAAAGGCUCACCAAGGCGAUGAUACAUAGCCGACCUGAGAGGGUGAUCGGCCACAUUGGGACUGAGACACGGCCCAAACUCCUACGGGAGGCAGCAGUAGGGAAUCUUCGGCAAUGGACGAAAGUCUGACCGAGCAACGCCGCGUGAGUGAAGAAGGGUGUCGGAUCGUAAAACUCUGUUGGUAGAGAAGAACGUGGGUGAGAGUGGAAAGCUCAUCAAGUGACGGUAACUACCCAGAAAGGGACGGCUAACUACGUG